Molecule: long non-coding RNA, 267 nt
Filed under: Centruroides sculpturatus (bark scorpion)
Lineage: Eukaryota; Metazoa; Arthropoda; Arachnida; Scorpiones; Buthidae
Description: uncharacterized LOC111633428, transcript variant X1
Source: RNAcentral
AGAAAAUAAAGUAACUGCAACUGCUCUAAAUUCUGCUGAGUGCCAAGCACUUUUCAUGUGGUGGGAGUUGAAGAUGGAUAUGAAUGGAAAGAUUGUGUUAAACUGUGCUCCAUAUUGGGCUCAUUCAAAUCCAUCAAACAUGCAGUGGAGAGAUCAUUGGAUGCAAGCUGUUUAUUAUUUACCAUCAAUACUGGAUAUAAGAAAAAAUGAAAAAUUUAUUCUUCAUUCCUAUCAUGAUGAAUACAGCUUAUGGUUUGAUGCUUAUAG